RNAcentral lists this ribosomal RNA (402 nucleotides) under uncultured bacterium. Its description in RNAcentral is "bacterial SSU rRNA". It matches the Rfam family "Bacterial small subunit ribosomal RNA", at positions 355 to 774 of the family's 1533-position model. The record is from RNAcentral.
UGGGGAAUAUUGGACAAUGGGGGAAACCCUGAUCCAGCAAUGCCGCGUGAGUGAAGAAGGCCUUAGGGUUGUAAAGCUCUUUCGCCCGCGAAGAUAAUGACGGUAGCGGGAGAAGAAGCCCCGGCUAACUCCGUGCCAGCAGCCGCGGUAAUACGGAGGGGGCUAGCGUUGUUCGGAAUUACUGGGCGUAAAGCGUGCGCAGGCGGUUUUGUAAGACAGAUGUGAAAUCCCCGGGCUUAACCUGGGAACUGCGUUUGUGACUGCAACGCUGGAGUACGGCAGAGGGGGGUGGAAUUCCACGUGUAGCAGUGAAAUGCGUAGAGAUGUGGAGGAACACCGAUGGCGAAGGCAGCCCCCUGGGCCUGUACUGACGCUCAUGCACGAAAGCGUGGGGAGCAAACA